RNAcentral lists this ribosomal RNA (27 nucleotides) under Synechococcus sp. WH 8103. RNAcentral's name for it is "partial 16S ribosomal RNA". The record is from RNAcentral. Lineage: Bacteria; Bacillati; Cyanobacteriota; Cyanophyceae; Synechococcales; Synechococcaceae.
GGAAGGUGCGGAUGGAUCACCUCCUAA